Molecule: ribosomal RNA, 253 nt
Filed under: uncultured bacterium
Lineage: Bacteria
Description: partial 16S ribosomal RNA
Rfam family: Bacterial small subunit ribosomal RNA
Source: RNAcentral
UACGGAGGGGGCUAGCGUUGUUCGGAAUUACUGGGCGUAAAGCGCGCGUAGGCGGACCUGCAAGUCGGGGGUGAAAGCCCGAGGCUCAACCUCGGAACUGCCGUCCAAACUGCUUCGCUUGAGACCGGGAGAGGUGAGUGGAAUUCCCAGUGUAGCGGUGAAAUGCGUAGAUAUUGGGAGGAACACCAGUGGCGAAGGCGGCUCACUGGACCGGUACUGACGCUGAUGCGCGAAAGCGUGGGGAGCAAACGGG